This 716-nucleotide long non-coding RNA is filed under the name Bos indicus x Bos taurus (hybrid cattle). RNAcentral's name for it is "lncRNA (ENSBIXG00000010157.1)". The record is from RNAcentral. Lineage: Eukaryota; Metazoa; Chordata; Mammalia; Artiodactyla; Bovidae.
GUAAAAUCUAAGGACUUGUCAAGGGAGGAUAUAAGAACACAUCGUGGUGAUUUGGGUCAGAGAACCUCAGAAAGUAUCAGAAAUUGGAGGCACUAGCUACCUCAGAAAGCAUGAGCAAAGGGUAUGCUGACAGCUGAGAGACUCCCAGAUUCCCAACCUCAUCCUGCGGAGCCAGGCAGGAAAAGCAGUGAAGAUUUGGAAAAAUCGAAUCAAGAUGGGUCUUCAUUUGGAAAUGUCGGGCACAAGUGAAAAACUUCCCUGGUGGUUCAGACAGUGAAGACUCUGUCUACAAUGCAGGAGACCGGGUUCAAUCUCUGGGUUGGGAAGAUCGCCUGGAGAAGGGGAUGGGAACCCACUCCUGUAUUCUUGCCUGGAGAAUUCCAUCGACAGGGGAGCCUGGCGGGCUGCAGUCCAUGGGGCUGUAAGAGUCAGAUAUGACUGAGCGACUAACACUUCCACUUUUUUCAGUAUACUGAAUGGAGACGCUGCCCAGCCCUCUUUCUCUGGACUCCUGGAAUGCUGCCAGCCAGGAUUAUAUCUGCAUAUAGAAGAAGAUCAAAGAAUUUUCCAGAAAGAAACAAGAAAGGCCAGCAGCUUUUUGAAGCCUGCGUUGCAACCCUGGGCCUGCUCUUUGUGUUCAUUUUGGCUGCAGUGAUGGUCUCAUAACCCUCUGGGUGUCAUCGUCCUUGGAGCUCCAGUACUCAACCAAGACCCCG